RNAcentral lists this ribosomal RNA (254 nucleotides) under uncultured bacterium. RNAcentral describes it as "partial 16S ribosomal RNA". It matches the Rfam family "Bacterial small subunit ribosomal RNA", at positions 524 to 776 of the family's 1533-position model. The record is from RNAcentral.
UACGUAGGGUGCGAGCAUUGUCCGGAAUUAUUGGGCGUAAAGAGCUCGUAGGCGGUCUGUCGCGUCGAUCGUGAAAACUUGGGGCUUAACCCUGAGCUUGCGGUCGAUACGGGCAUGACUGGAGUUCGGCAGGGGAGACUGGAAUUCCUGGUGUAGCGGUGAAAUGCGCAGAUAUCAGGAGGAACACCGGUGGCGAAGGCGGGUCUCUGGGCCGAUACUGACGCUGAGGAGCGAAAGCCAGGGGAGCAAACGGG